This is a long non-coding RNA of Siniperca chuatsi (mandarin fish), 2523 nucleotides long. RefSeq lists it as uncharacterized. The record is from RefSeq and is a predicted model, not a curated record. The transcript has 2 exons. Lineage: Eukaryota; Metazoa; Chordata; Actinopteri; Centrarchiformes; Sinipercidae.
UCUAUGCUGAAAGAGAGAUUUGUCUUUUCUCUCAGACCUGUCACUUGUUUUGAUUCUUCCUCCCCCUACCCUCCCUUCCUCUCUAAGGGGAGCAGUGAAAAUGACAACGUUUCAUCACUUGCUGUUUGAGCUGCUGCUCUGGGAGCUGCCUGACUGGUCCUUCAUCCUUACUGUAGCUACAGAGAAGGAAUGUGAUCAUCUUUGUGUGGAGACAAGAAAGUGUGCCAGGCAGGUGUCAUCUGCAGGUUUUGGCUGUUUAUAUUGGAAGUUUGUUCCUCUAAACUGACACCUGCCUCCAAACCACUCACCGGUUCUCCAGAAAUCUCACCAUGGAUUCACCGCUGUUCCACGUCAGCCAGCUGUCCUCGCCCAGUCUACCUGCUCACGGAGAUUCCUUCCACACACCUGGUUACUCUUGGACUUGUUUGUACAAUAAACCAAAACUAACCACUUCAACUCUCUCUGUUGUCAAGUCAUGCUUUUGGGUCUAGAAUCUGUGUACGAUAACAUAGACAGAUUAUGAGACAAUGGUCCCCUGGGGAUGAAUGCCUCUUCUUCCAGCAGAGUCAGAGACCCCAUGUUGCAUGCUGUCAAUAUGGAGCAGAGGCCUACACCUUCUACAGAAAACCGGGGGGGGGGGGUGUCCACUGAAGGUGUCUUCAGAGGGAAUGACUUAUUCCUUGUGACAACUUCAAAGUGAACUCUCAAGCUAUUCCUUUAGGGGUGUCUCUGUUAUUGACAUUAAUGAUUGAGCCCUUUUACUGCAACAAGAAAUGAUUUUUAACAACAAUCUUCUUAUUCAUUUUUUUUGUUUAGGAGUUGGGAGUCACGGUUCACUUAGCACACAGACUGGAAACAGGGGGAAACUAGCCUGGCUCUGUCCAAAGCGGGCAAAAUCUGUCUACCAGCACCUCCUAGAGCUCACUAACUAAAAUAUUAUAGCUCAUUUUGUUUAAUCAGUACAAAAUCUUGGUUUGGGGUUAUGUGCCUGACUAUUUCUUGGCCGGGACCAGUGACUGCCAAAAGUCUCUGCUAGCUGUUUCCCCCUGUUUCCAGUCUUUGUGCUAAACUAACUGGCUGCUGGCUCCAGCUGCAUAUUUAUCAUAGAGAUGUUAGAGUGGUAACAAUCUUCUCAUCUAAGUCUCGGCAAGAAAGAGAAUAAACAAAUUUCCCAAAAUAUUGAACUACUCCUUUAACGCAGAGACUCACGCUUGGAGACCUUCAACCUUUGUCUAGUAGGGCCAAUUGGUAAUCCAUCCAUACUGCUACGAUGACUCAUGCUGAAGUAUUAAACUACAAAUGGCAAAAUUGUUAUUGUAACCUUCUGCACACUGUGGUCUGAAACUUUUUCAUAACACAGUAAGCACAGUUUCUAAAGUUUUAGUCAUCCUUAGAACUGCUAAUAAGAUAUCUGAAGGAUUCCUAUAUGAGAUUAUUUUGGCCAUUUGACCCUAAUCUGAAAAGUGUUUGAAUGUUUUACUACUUUUAGAUUUAGGAAUUAGGGCAGACUGAGUGCAUGUAGCAAAUAUAGAGCAAAACCUUUGUAAAUAAAAAUGCAUUAAUGAAAUUUAAUUCAUUUUACUGGGGGCCAACUGGAACUCGUUCAAAGGCCUUUGUGGUGUCCAAAAAUUGCACUGUGGGAACCGCUCGUAUCGUUCCACCACCACAGAAAGCUUCAAAGUUGAUUCAGCAGUUACUCUACGUGUUAGUUGCAACCGGCAAAUCAUAAUUUCUCACCAUUAACCUGCAGUGCUUGUGGUGUGGUUGCUAUGGCAACAACUCCCUCCCAGGAAAGGCGAUGCAGCAUAUCCACCGAUUUAUUAGAUCUCUGAUCACACAGCUCCCUCCACAUGGCCAUCUGGGAAAACCAGUCACACAGAAACGUAUGCCCCCCGUUUUACAUUUCGCAAGUCUUCUCAUCAUUUUGCCGCAUUACACUCUGCUGACUAGAAGACAAGGUGUCGUUUUUCUUGUCAGUGCUUGUUUUCGGUCAAAGAUGGGUAGAAUAUUAAAUGAGAAGUGUUGAGGAGUGAUGAAUGUUGGAAGAAAAUAAAGUGGAUGCUGAGAAGUAGUCAAAGACAGACACACAGACACAUAUGACUUCACUGCAAGUGAACUGGUAAUGCCUCUAUCUUUACCAGAAGCAUUUGUUCAAGUUCACAUUGUUUAUUUGGAGUAUGUUAUUGAAUGUCUAUUAGAACAUAAGAGGACAGAGAGUUUUACAUAGAGUUUAAAAAUGUAGUACUUUAAUUUGAUUUUCAUGAUUCAAUCUGAUCUUUUAAUUAAUUGGCAUUAAUAUUAACAGCUUGAUGCUGUCUUCAGCUGUAACUGGAGCAGAUGCCUGCCUGUGAAUGUUUAGCACAUUUGCUACCUUGUUGUUACACUAUCAGACCAGUCCUGGUAUCAUCACCACCUUCUGCCAGGCUAGAGCAAACACUGCUGACAAACUGCAGAUGUUUCCUUCUCUCUCUCUCUCUCUCUCUCUCUCUCUCUCUCUCUCUCUCUCUCUCUCACACACACACA